Bubalus bubalis (water buffalo) is the source of this 593-nucleotide long non-coding RNA. RefSeq lists it as uncharacterized. The record is from RefSeq and is a predicted model, not a curated record. The transcript has 3 exons. NCBI's taxonomy places the organism in Eukaryota, Metazoa, Chordata, Mammalia, Artiodactyla, Bovidae.
CCUCAGUGUCUCCUCUCCUUUGGGAGAACGGAAGGACGCCUGCGGCCUACGUACUCAAUUAAAAAAAAAUUCUGGGAACAGCAGUAAGAAGAAUCUCUUACUAGUCACUGACCUUACUAGCAUUAAGAUUAUCAUUAUCAAAACUGAAGCUCUAAAUAUCUUCGGGAAGCUGGUGAUCAUUACCUAGAGCAACGUUUUCUGUCUUUUAGGCUAGCGUUUACGUGGAUCCGGUGUCUGGCGGGCCAAGGUCUCCAUGUGCUACAGAGCAUACUCCAGGCUGACUGCGACGGGCAGGUGCCUGAAGGCGCAAGUGUUUGUCACCAUCCAACCAAUCCUCAUAAUCACAAUAAAACCCUGCAUGUGACUCCAGGAGAGUAAAAUAUUAAGCAGAACUGGACCAGCAGUCUAAUUCUGACGUGACUUAAACAUACGUAGUGUUUGAAAUGGUACCUGGCCCACAGUAAACAAAUGUAGUAAACAGGUACUGUUAUUCCAGGACAGUCUAAAGAAGUGGCAUUAUGAGGGACUUGCUGCCAUGGCCCUGUCUGGAAGCAGAUGGGGACCUGAACACACCAGGUACUCUCCUUUCCCCC